RNAcentral lists this ribosomal RNA (276 nucleotides) under Escherichia coli. Its description in RNAcentral is "partial 16S ribosomal RNA". It matches the Rfam family "Bacterial small subunit ribosomal RNA", at positions 1270 to 1533 of the family's 1533-position model. Lineage: Bacteria; Pseudomonadati; Pseudomonadota; Gammaproteobacteria; Enterobacterales; Enterobacteriaceae. The record is from RNAcentral.
GACCUCAUAAAGUGCGUCGUAGUCCGGAUUGGAGUCUGCAACUCGACUCCAUGAAGUCGGAAUCGCUAGUAAUCGUGGAUCAGAAUGCCACGGUGAAUACGUUCCCGGGCCUUGUACACACCGCCCGUCACACCAUGGGAGUGGGUUGCAAAAGAAGUAGGUAGCUUAACCUUUGGGAGGGCGCUUACCACUUUGUGAUUCAUGACUGGGGUGAAGUCGUAACAAGGUAACCGUAGGGGAACCUGCGGUUGGAUCACCUCCUUACCUUAAAGAAGC